This 881-nucleotide ribosomal RNA is filed under the name Starmera pilosocereana. Its description in RNAcentral is "LSU rRNA". It matches the Rfam family "Eukaryotic large subunit ribosomal RNA", at positions 1 to 900 of the family's 3401-position model. The record is from RNAcentral. Lineage: Eukaryota; Fungi; Ascomycota; Saccharomycetes; Phaffomycetales; Phaffomycetaceae.
UCGACCUCAAAUCAGGUAGGACUACCCGCUGAACUUAAGCAUAUCAAUAAGCGGAGGAAAAGAAACCAACAGGGAUUGCCUUAGUAACGGCGAGUGAAGCGGCAAAAGCUCAAAUUUGAAAUCUGGUAGUUUCACUGCCCGAGUUGUAAUUUGAAGAACGGUCUUUGUAGCGCAGCCUUUGUCUAUGUUCCUUGGAACAGGACGUCACAGAGGGUGAGAAUCCCGUGAGAUGGGGGCCGCACUGCUUGUAGGGCCAGUUCGACGAGUCGAGUUGUUUGGGAAUGCAGCUCUAAGUGGGUGGUAAAUUCCAUCUAAAGCUAAAUAUUGGCGAGAGACCGAUAGCGAACAAGUACAGUGAUGGAAAGAUGAAAAGAACUUUGAAAAGAGAGUGAAAAAGUACGUGAAAUUGUUGAAAGGGAAGGGCAUUUGAUCAGACUUGGUGGGGGAGUACUGGCAGUCACUUGUUGUCUGUUUACUGCUCUUCUGCUGGGCCAGCAUCGAUUUGUGUGGUGGGACAACCGGCUGGGAAUGUGGCUGCUUUUUGCAGUGUUAUAGCCCAGCUUUCUACCGCCUACAUGGAUCGAGGACUGCGUCUUUAUGACUAGGAUGCUGGCGUAAUGAUCUAAUGCCGCCCGUCUUGAAACACGGACCAAGGAGUCUAACGUCUAUGCGAGUGUUUGGGUGUGAAACCCGUACGCGUAAUGAAAGUGAAUGCAGGUGGGAGCUCUUCUGAGUGCACCAUCGACCGAUCCUGACGUUUUCAGAUGGAUUUGAGUAAGAGCAUAGCUGUUGGGACCCGAAAGAUGGUGAACUAUGCCUGAAUAGGGUGAAGCCAGAGGAAACUCUGGUGGAGGCUCGUAGCGGUUCUGACGUGCAAAUCG